AUGCCGGGCGCUGAGGCCGACGGCGCCGGCGGCGCCGGCGCCUCCUCCUCCUCCACUGCAGAUAGUUUUGACGCCGGGCAGUACGCCUUCUUCGGGAAGGAGCCGCGCGACGGGCUCGAGCUAGGUUGCUUGGAGGCUGAUGGUGGCCAUGGCAAUGGCGGUGGAUUCAGCGGGCCAGAGGAUGGUGGCUUGUACCGGCUCUCUUCGGUUGGAGAAGAGAUUGACAAUCUAAGUAACUUGUCGGACGUCGAUGAUCUUGCGAGUACUUUUGCUAAGUUGAACCGAACCGUUAGUGGAACACGGAAUCCUGGUGUUAUCGGUGACAGACGAUCCAUUUCAAGAGGAAGUUCUUUAACUGUUGAUUGGACUGAGGAUGUAGAGUUUCCCAAUUAUCAAGAUAUAUUAGAAAAUGAGGAAUUCCAGGAAGGUAAAAGAUGGUGGUCAUCACAGUCACAUUCUUUGGUGCAGCAAGGGGACAGCAAACCGCUAAGUCGAACAUCUUCCUAUCCUCAGCAGCCACUGCAGCACCGUUCCAGUGAACCUAUCACAGGACCAAAGUCUCCUCCGUUUACCUCGUUUCCGCCACCAGGUGGUAGAUCACCACAUCCUGCUCAAGGUCUUACACGUCAUGGGAGCAUUCCAUCAUUUGGAGCUGGGAUACAGAUGGGUUCUCCGAGCAUGCCACUGCCAGGUUCCCCGUAUCAUAUGGUUGGGUUACCUCAUGGACUACCAUAUGGGGGAAGCAUGCCCUUUGGUGGUCCUAAUAUGCAUGUAGGCAAUCCAAUGCAAAAUGACUGGUCAAACCAAGCCAACCUGUUCACUGGGGAGCACCUUAAUCUACUGCCAAACUUAUUACAGAAACAAAUAUCGCUUCCGAAUAGCCCAAUGUCAUCACUGCUAUUCUCUCAGCAACAGCAGAGAUUGGCACAGCUCCAACCAUCCCACCAUCAGAAUUACCUAAAUUUACCACCCCACCUAUUCUACCAUCAUCACCCCCCAGAGAUACCAGGCAGGUUUGAAUCUGCUACCAGUCUUCCUUCAUCAAGAGACAAGAGAUCAAGAUCAGGAAGGGGAAAACACAGUUUACGUUUUUCUCAACCACCAUCUGAUACUACUGGUAGUCAGAACGGUGAGAGUGGUGGACUGAAGUUUAGAUCCAAGUACAUGUCAUCUGAAGAGAUCGAGUCUAUUCUAAGAAUGCAGCACUCGGCAAGUCACAGCAGUGAUCCUUAUGUUGUUGAUUAUUAUCAUCAAGCUUGCAUGGCGAAAAAGGGUUCCAGUUCUAAGCAAAAGACCAAUUUCUCCCCAACAUCAGUUAAAGACUUGCCCUCCAAGUCUAGAUCAAGUAGUGACCAGCAUGCAUAUCUUCAGGUCGAUGCUCUUGGGAGAGUUUCUUUCUCUUCCAUUCGCAGGCCCCGGUCUCUUCUUGAAGUUGACAAUCCUUUGUCAGGUGAGGGUCCUCAUGAUCAGAAGUCUUCGGUGAGGUCCCUGGAGAAAGAACCUAUGCUAGCAGCCAGGGUCACUGUUGAAGAUGCCAUUGGUCUUCUUCUUGAGGUGGAUGAUAUUGACAGGCUCCUGCAGUCUAGCCAGGCACAGGAGAAUAGCUUUCAGCUGAGGCGAAGGCGACAAGUUCUCCUUGAAGGUCUAGCCGCAUCACUUCAGCUUGCUGACCCUCUUGGGCCCAGCAAAUCUGCCAAUUCAUCUGGUUUAGCCCCUAAGGAUGAUAUUGUCUUUCUUCGCAUUGUUUCUCUUCCCAAAGGACGUAAGCUUCUGGCUCGUUAUAUCCGGCUUAUUGUCCCUGGAAGCGAGUUGACCAGGAUUGUGUGCAUGGCUAUUUUCCGACACCUGAGGUUCUUGUUUGGGGGUUUACCAUCAGAUUCAAGUGCAGCAGAGACAACAGUUGCUCUGGCAAAGACUGUUUCGACUUGUGCUCACCAUAUGGAGCUUGGUGCUCUUAGUGCUUGCCUUGCUGCAGUCGUCUGUUCAUCUGAACAACCACCUCUCCGUCCUCUUGGUAGCUCUGCUGGUGACGGGGCUUCUCUUAUUAUCAAGUCAGUACUGGACCGAGCAACUGAGUUGCUGACUGAUCAGCGUGCCGUAUCCAGCUAUACCCCGUCAAACCGAGCUCUCUGGCAGGCAUCGUUUGAUGCUUUCUUUGGGCUUCUGACAAAAUACUGCCUCAGUAAGUAUGAAAGUAUUCUGCAGAUGUUUGUGAUGCAGGCAUCAGGCUCUGUGAUUGGAUCUGAAGCCUCUCAAGCACCCAGCAGGGAGAUGCCAGUAGAGUUGCUACGUGCAAGCCUCCCUCACACAAACGAGCAGCAACGGCAGAUGCUGCUUGAUUUCGCUCAGAGAACCACGCCUGCCAGCAGUUUUAAUCCCCCUGGUGCUAGCGGUGGACACAUCUCUUCUGAAUCGGUUCCUGGUUAA
RNAcentral lists this ribosomal RNA (2427 nucleotides) under Triticum aestivum (bread wheat). RNAcentral's name for it is "partial small subunit ribosomal RNA". Lineage: Eukaryota; Viridiplantae; Streptophyta; Magnoliopsida; Poales; Poaceae. The record is from RNAcentral.